CAUUAGAUAGCUUAAAGUAAGCAAGAGCCUCUUAAGCUUUGAUAUAGUAGACUAACAAUUACUUUUAAUGA
Molecule: transfer RNA, 71 nt
Filed under: Leptodora kindtii
Lineage: Eukaryota; Metazoa; Arthropoda; Branchiopoda; Diplostraca; Leptodoridae
Description: tRNA-Lys
Source: RNAcentral